ACAGGGGGAUGCUUGUACGGCGAGUGAGCGGCAAAGCUCAAAUUUGAAAUCUGGUACCUUCGGUGCCCGAGUUGUAAUUUGGAGAGGGCAACUUUGGGGCCGUUCCUUGUCUAUGUUCCUUGGAACAGGACGUCAUAGAGGGUGAGAAUCCCGUGUGGCGAGGAGUGCGGUUCUUUGUAAAGUGCCUUCGAAGAGUCGAGUUGUUUGGGAAUGCAGCUCUAAGUGGGUGGUAAAUUCCAUCUAAAGCUAAAUAUUGGCGAGAGACCGAUAGCGAACAAGUACAGUGAUGGAAAGAUGAAAAGAACUUUGAAAAGAGAGUGAAAAAGUACGUGAAAUUGUUGAAAGGGAAGGGCAUUUGAUCAGACAUGGUGUUUUGUGCCCUCUGCUCCUUGUGGGUAGGGGAAUCUCGCAUUUCACUGGGCCAGCAUCAGUUUUGGUGGCAGGAUAAAUCCAUAGGAAUGUAGCUUGCCUCGGUAAGUAUUAUAGCCUGUGGGAAUACUGCCAGCUGGGACUGAGGACUGCGACGUAAGUCAAGGAUGCUGGCAUAAUGGUUAUAUGCCGCCCGUCUUG
This 570-nucleotide ribosomal RNA is filed under the name Saccharomyces cerevisiae (brewer's yeast). Its description in RNAcentral is "eukaryotic LSU rRNA". It matches the Rfam family "Eukaryotic large subunit ribosomal RNA", at positions 68 to 656 of the family's 3401-position model. Lineage: Eukaryota; Fungi; Ascomycota; Saccharomycetes; Saccharomycetales; Saccharomycetaceae. The record is from RNAcentral.